GACGAACGCUGGCGGCGUGCUUAACACAUGCAAGUCGAACGGAAAGGCCCUGCUUUUGUGGGGUGCUCGAGUGGCGAACGGGUGAGUAACACGUGAGUAACCUGCCCUUGACUUUGGGAUAACUUCAGGAAACUGGGGCUAAUACCGGAUAGGAGCUCCUGCUGCAUGGUGGGGGUUGGAAAGUUUCGGCGGUUGGGGAUGGACUCGCGGCUUAUCAGCUUGUUGGUGGGGUAGUGGCUUACCAAGGCUUUGACGGGUAGCCGGCCUGAGAGGGUGACCGGCCACAUUGGGACUGAGAUACGGCCCAGACUCCUACGGGAGGCAGCAGUGGGGAAUAUUGCACAAUGGGCGGAAGCCUGAUGCAGCAACGCCGCGUGCGGGAUGACGGCCUUCGGGUUGUAAACCGCUUUCGCCUGUGACGAAGCGUGAGUGACGGUAAUGGGUAAAGAAGCACCGGCUAACUACGUGCCAGCAGCCGCGGUGAUACGUAGGGUGCGAGCGUUGUCCGGAUUUAUUGGGCGUAAAGGGCUCGUAGGUGGUUGAUCGCGUCGGAAGUGUAAUCUUGGGGCUUAACCCUGAGCGUGCUUUCGAUACGGGUUGACUUGAGGAAGGUAGGGGAGAAUGGAAUUCCUGGUGGAGCGGUGGAAUGCGCAGAUAUCAGGAGGAACACCAGUGGCGAAGGCGGUUCUCUGGGCCUUUCCUGACGCUGAGGAGCGAAAGCGUGGGGAGCGAACAGGCUUAGAUACCCUGGUAGUCCACGCUGUAAACGGUGGGUACUAGGUGUGGGGUCCAUUCCACGGGUUCCGUGCCGUAGCUAACGCUUUAAGUACCCCGCCUGGGGAGUACGGCCGCAAGGCUAAAACUCAAAGGAAUUGACGGGGCCCCGCACAAGCGGCGGAGCAUGCGGAUUAAUUCGAUGCAACGCGUAGAACCUUACCUGGGUUUGACAUGGAUCGGGAGUGCUCAGAGAUGGGUGUGCCUCUUUUGGGGUCGGUUCACAGGUGGUGCAUGGCUGUCGUCAGCUCGUGUCGUGAGAUGUUGGGUUAAGUCCCGCAACGAGCGCAACCCUUGUUCACUGUUGCCAGCACGUUAUGGUGGGGACUCAGUGGAGACCGCCGUGGUCAACUCGGAGGAAGGUGGGGAUGACGUCAAGUCAUCAUGCCCCUUAUGUCCAGGGCUUCACGCAUGCUACAAUGGCUGGUACAGAGAGUGGCGAGCCUGUGAGGGUGAGCGAAUCUCGGAAAGCCGGUCUCAGUUCGGAUUGGGGUCUGCAACUCGACCUCAUGAAGUCGGAGUCGCUAGUAAUCGCAGAUCAGCAACGCUGCGGUGAAUACGUUCCCGGGGCU
RNAcentral lists this ribosomal RNA (1346 nucleotides) under uncultured bacterium. RNAcentral's name for it is "partial 16S ribosomal RNA". It matches the Rfam family "Bacterial small subunit ribosomal RNA", at positions 28 to 1381 of the family's 1533-position model. The record is from RNAcentral.